Molecule: ribosomal RNA, 301 nt
Filed under: uncultured bacterium
Lineage: Bacteria
Description: partial 16S ribosomal RNA
Rfam family: Bacterial small subunit ribosomal RNA
Source: RNAcentral
CAGCCGCCGCGGUAAUACGUAGGGUGCGAGCGUUAAUCGGAAUUACUGGGCGUAAAGCGUGCGCAGGCGGUUGUGUAAGACAGGUGUGAAAUCCCCGGGCUUAACCUGGGAACUGCGCUUGUGACUGCACAGCUAGAGUAUGGCAGAGGGGGGUGGAAUUCCACGUGUAGCAGUGAAAUGCGUAGAGAUGUGGAGGAACUCCGAUGGCGAAGGCAGCCCCCUGGGCCAAUACUGACGCUCAUGCACGAAAGCGUGGGGAGCAAACAGGAUUAGAUACCCGCGUAGUCCCUGUCUCUUAUAC